Non-coding RNA from Peromyscus maniculatus bairdii (prairie deer mouse), 1928 nucleotides. NCBI's taxonomy places the organism in Eukaryota, Metazoa, Chordata, Mammalia, Rodentia, Cricetidae. The record is from RefSeq and is a predicted model, not a curated record.
UCCGGACGGAGAAUCCUCUCCGCCCUCCUAUUUCCUCCCAUCCAGAAGCUGUCACGGAGCCACAAGGAAAGCAUCUGGACUCCUGGCAGGGCUGUCCCCAGUCCCCAGUCCCCAGUGCAGGACAGCCUGCUGGUCCCAUUUCUCAGUUAGAGCCGGCGCCGGCCCUGCCCACUCCAGGAAAUCCUGCCGCUGCUAUUUUGGGGAAGUUGAUGGCUUUUUUUUUUUUUUUUUUUUUUUUUUUUUUUUUUCUGGUCCUUCGGAGAGCCUGACAGAUGGCCACUGAUUUGUGCGAUGCAUUUCCAUGGUGGUGUCGGAGGCUCUCCAACAGAUUCUUCCUGCUCCGUCAGACACUGCAGCCAGAUUUGCUCCUUCAGUAAAUAUUUAAGGAAAGCCUGCAGCACACACGGCUCAGCAAGAGGCGCCAGGAGAGGAAUCAAAUGCCGUUUAUUGGCUAUGUGUCAUGCAGCGGGGGAGGAGAUUGCAGGUCUGGAGAGAUGGCUUUGCAGUUAAGAGAGCAACAGCUGCUUUUCCAGAGGAGUGGAAUCCAGUUCCCGACGCCCAUGACAACUACCUCUGACUCCAUUGGAGCUGAUGUCCUCUGCUGGCCUCCACAGGUACCCAUGAUGCUUUCAGCUGACAUGGUCCACGGCCUCCCUUCUCUAGUCUGUCCUCCCGGGAGGCUUUAGUUGUGUCUGAACAGACAAGCUUCACACCUCUAAGACUACCUCCCGGUCUCAUUUUAGCCAGAGGGAGCACAGAGCAGCCAUGAGGGUGGACACAGCAGACGGAUCCGGGGCCACUCUGGGGUCUCUUAGGACCUGGGCUCUGGGACGCCCAUCUCUCCAGCGGGUCUUUGCCCGGCCUCAGCUGUGCAUCAGUUGGCAAAGCCAUGUUCCUUUGACACUUAUCUUUCCUGACCCAAAAGAAUCCAGGUCUCCCAGACUCUGUAUGCUGCCCCCAGAUCCCCAAUCUACCAAACGACGUGGUUAGCAUGUAUGUAUACACACAUGCACACACAGCUCUAAGGCACAAGUCCCUCCACUCCUGGGCAGAGGGACCCCCAGGCUCCCAAUGUCUCUCCCUCUCUCCCCUGACCUUCUCUGCCCCCACCAUACAACCUCCCCAGAUUUAACCACGGCUCUGACUCUGUCCCUUUAUCAUCACUGAGAAUGCUGUAGCGUGGUGCGGGCUAACUGGGCAGAGAGGGACCUACUAGCGUGGCGUCUCCUUAGGCCCCAGGCUGUUGCCACUCCCCAGCUAGACAAACUGAGAAUGGCAAGCCCCAGGGCACAACAAAUGUUCCAAAAUGAAGGAGACUAGGGCCAAUGAGGAAGCAGGGUGUAGGAGGCUGGGGGGGUAGGUGGGUGGAGAAAGAAGGGGUGGGCUAAUUCAGGCAUGGGCCCCCUCAGGAGUGAGUGAUGCCGCAGCCUCAAGGGGCUAGCAAUCCAAGGUGGCCGGUAUGCCAGGAAGAUGCUGUCCCUUAUUAGAGUAGACAACACACAAGACCCUGCUCCAGGAAAACCUAGAGAACUCAGCCAGGAAAUAGUCCAGUCCCUUCUAAAUAGUCCCUUCUAUAUGCCAAUGCAUUAUAGUUCUAGAUAAUAACUCUCACAGCUUUGGCUUGGAGACCUGGGCACCUAUGGGGUUGGUGUUAGGAUCCUGCCUUCACUCCUGUUUAUGCGAAGCUUGGGGUCUUGCGUCCUACGUCAUCGGGGACGCUGGCGACUACGUACAAGCCUUAAAAAGCCGGAUGCAGACCCCACACUCUCUGCUCCCUGCUCUGCUCCCCUCUUCCCCCACCCCACCAUCUUUCUCUCUCACCGGGUCUGGUCCCCUCUGCCCCCCUUUCUCUCCUAAUAAAGCUCUGAAUACUGAUACUGGGUUCUAUCGUGACCCUGACCUUUCCAUGCGGUAACCAGUGCCGCCAC